This 502-nucleotide ribosomal RNA is filed under the name uncultured bacterium. RNAcentral describes it as "bacterial SSU rRNA". It matches the Rfam family "Bacterial small subunit ribosomal RNA", at positions 8 to 488 of the family's 1533-position model. The record is from RNAcentral.
AGAGUUUGAUCCUGGCUCAGGACGAACGCUGGCGGCGUGCCUAAUACAUGCAAGUCGUGCGGGCCUUGUUAAAAGCUUGCUUUUAACAAGGCUAGCGGCGGACGGGUGAGUAACACGUGGGCAACCUGCCUGUAAGACCGGGAUAACGCCGGGAAACCGGGGCUAAUACCAGAUCGUUUUUUCCUCCGCAUGGAGGAAAAAGGAAAGGCGGCUUCGGCUGCCACUUACAGAUGGGCCCGCGGCGCAUUAGCUAGUUGGCGGGGUAAUGGCCCACCAAGGCAACGAUGCGUAGCCGACCUGAGAGGGUGAUCGGCCACAUUGGGACUGAGACACGGCCCAAACUCCUACGGGAGGCAGCAGUAGGGAAUCUUCCGCAAUGGACGAAAGUCUGACGGAGCAACGCCGCGUGAGUGAAGAAGGCCUUCGGGUCGUAAAACUCUGUUGCCGGGGAAGAACAAGUGCCGUUCGAACAGGGCGGCGCCUUGACGGUACCCGGCCAGAA